UUAAAUUGAAGAGUUUGAUCAUGGCUCAGAUUGAACGCUGGCGGCAGGCCUAACACAUGCAAGUCGAACGGUAACAGGUUGCAGCUUGCUGCUUUGCUGACGAGUGGC
This 108-nucleotide ribosomal RNA is filed under the name Salmonella enterica subsp. enterica serovar Dublin. RNAcentral describes it as "partial 16S ribosomal RNA". It matches the Rfam family "Bacterial small subunit ribosomal RNA", at positions 1 to 99 of the family's 1533-position model. Lineage: Bacteria; Pseudomonadati; Pseudomonadota; Gammaproteobacteria; Enterobacterales; Enterobacteriaceae. The record is from RNAcentral.